GACGAACGCUGGCGGCGUGCUUAACACAUGCAAGUCGAACGGAAAGGCCCUGCUUGCAGGGUACUCGAGUGGCGAACGGGUGUGUAACACGCGGGUGAUCCGUCCUGCACAUCGGGAUAUGCCUGGGAAACUGGGUCUAUUAUAGGGUAUGAGCCAUUUUUAUGCAUGUGGUUGGAUAGAUUUUUCGGUGUAGGAUGGUCUCGCGGCCUACUAGGUUGUUGGUGGGGUAAUGGCCUACCAAGGCGGCGACGGGUAGCCGGCCUGGGAGGGUGGACGGCCACAUUGGGACUGAGAGACGGCCCAGACUCCUACGGGAGGCAGCAGUGGGGAGUAUUGCACAAUGGGCGCAAGCCUGAGACAGAGACGCCGCGUGGGGGAUGACGGCCUUCGGGUUGUGAACUCCUUUCGCUAGGGACGAAGCUUUUUGUGACGGUACCUAGAUAAGAAGCACCGGCUAACUACGUG
Molecule: ribosomal RNA, 465 nt
Filed under: uncultured bacterium
Lineage: Bacteria
Description: partial 16S ribosomal RNA
Rfam family: Bacterial small subunit ribosomal RNA
Source: RNAcentral